RNAcentral lists this transfer RNA (69 nucleotides) under Staphylinidae sp. BMNH 1274674. Its description in RNAcentral is "tRNA-Val". Lineage: Eukaryota; Metazoa; Arthropoda; Insecta; Coleoptera; Staphylinidae. The record is from RNAcentral.
CAAAUUAGAGUUUUUAAAAAGCGUUUUAGUUACAUUAAGAAGUUAAUUGUGAGAAUCAGUUUAAUUUGA